CCACCUUCAUUGCCCUUUGUCCAAACAUUAUAGUACUUGCUGUCUCUCCUCGAUGACGUGGGGAUGGACCAAUAGUAAUAACCAGUGAAGUUCUUGCUGUCCCUGUUAAAAUUUCAAGAAUUCAAACACCAAGAAAAAAAUACUGCCUCACUUUUGUAAAUUCAUUUGCUCAGAUGCCAUUUCAUAAUAACAAAGCCAGAUAACAGAAACAUAUUUUGUAAAAGGCACUGCUAAAAAUUGCCAAGCAUGGAAACUUUACAAAUUGUUGCUCUCUGCAUUUCUACUUUUAUAUGAAACCAACACAUAUUGUAGACAUGAUUGCCUAAAGACAAUGAUUAUAUAUCCAAUAUAUAGCCCUUUAAUUCAAUGAAAGUGCCUAUAAUCCAAUCACCCAUUUUCAUGUCCUUUAAAAAGGCCUAUAAUACAAUCACCCAUUUUCAUGUCCUUUAAAAAGGCCUAUAAUA
This 464-nucleotide unclassified non-coding RNA is filed under the name Hevea brasiliensis (rubber tree). Lineage: Eukaryota; Viridiplantae; Streptophyta; Magnoliopsida; Malpighiales; Euphorbiaceae. The record is from RNAcentral.